ACCCUUUUAUUUAUUAAUUUAAAAAAUUUUUCAGUCAAUUUUUUUAAAAAAAGCAGUAGAUCAGCAUUUCAAAAACCUAAUCUAAAUAUGUACUUGACAAUGAAGUACAUCUGAAUAUGGAGUAAAACAGUUUUUAAAAAAGCCAUUGAAUAUAUCAUAUUCAAAUACCCAUUCUAUUGGCCUUUUGUUGAAUAGAAUCAUAAACCAAAAAAAAUAAUGAAGAUUUACUACUAUGAAAACAAAUAGGUAGUACACUGGUAUGAAUAUUGGGUAUUAAGUAUAAUCAGUUGAAUCAAGUUAAGAUGUUGAAAAUCUAAUAAGAAAUUUGCGUGUGUAUGAAAGUCUAUAAGCCAGUUGACUCAAGAGCAACUGAGAUAUCUAAUUAUGCAGUGAACCCAGUCAUUU
Long non-coding RNA from Phyllostomus discolor (pale spear-nosed bat), 405 nucleotides. RefSeq lists it as uncharacterized. The transcript has 3 exons. NCBI's taxonomy places the organism in Eukaryota, Metazoa, Chordata, Mammalia, Chiroptera, Phyllostomidae. The record is from RefSeq and is a predicted model, not a curated record.